Non-coding RNA from Gossypium hirsutum (cotton), 144 nucleotides. The record is from Rfam. NCBI's taxonomy places the organism in Eukaryota, Viridiplantae, Streptophyta, Magnoliopsida, Malvales, Malvaceae.
UGUUAAAAUUUCAUCCAUUUAUACUAUUAACUAUUGACAUGAUUAACAGAAUAACCAAACAGUGAUACAUGUCAUGCCACAUAUAUUUCAUGCCAAUGAACAGGGAAUAAUUUUUAAUAAUAAAAAUGGAUGAAUUUUUUAAUA